AUUGAACGCUGGCGGCAGGCCUAACACAUGCAAGUCGAACAGUAACAGGAAGCUUGCUUCCGGGUGACGAGCGGCGGACGGGUGAGUAAUGUCUGGGAAACUGCCUGAUGGAGGGGGAUAACUACUGGAAACGGUAGCUAAUACCGCAUAACGUCGCAAGACCAAAGAGGGGGACCUUCGGGCCUCUUGCCAUCAGAUGUGCCCAGAUGGGAUUAGCUAGUAGGUGAGGUAAUGGCUCACCUAGGCGACGAUCCCUAGCUGGUCUGAGAGGAUGACCAGCCACACUGGAACUGAGACACGGUCCAGACUCCUACGGGAGGCAGCAGUGGGGAAUAUUGCACAAUGGGCGCAAGCCUGAUGCAGCCAUGCCGCGUGUAUGAAGAAGGCCUUCGGGUUGUAAAGUACUUUCAGCGAGGAGGAAGGCAUCGUACCUAAUACGUACGGUGAUUGACGUUACUCGCAGAAGAAGCACCGGCUAACUCCGUGCCAGCCGCCGCCGUAA
This 502-nucleotide ribosomal RNA is filed under the name uncultured bacterium. Its description in RNAcentral is "partial 16S ribosomal RNA". It matches the Rfam family "Bacterial small subunit ribosomal RNA", at positions 30 to 523 of the family's 1533-position model. The record is from RNAcentral.